Molecule: ribosomal RNA, 440 nt
Filed under: uncultured bacterium
Lineage: Bacteria
Description: partial 16S ribosomal RNA
Rfam family: Bacterial small subunit ribosomal RNA
Source: RNAcentral
CCUACGGGUGGCAGCAGUGGGGAAUAUUGCACAAUGGUGGAAACCCUGAUGCAGCGACGCCGCGUGAAGGAAGAAGUAUUUCGGUAUGUAAACUUCUAUCAGCAGGGAAGCAAAUGAUGGUACCCGUCUAAGAAGCCGCGGCUAACUACGUGCAAGCAGCCGCGGCUAUACGCAGGGGGCCAGAGUUAUCCGGAUUUACUGGGUGUAAAGGGAGCGUAGGCGGUUUAGCAAGUCAGAAGGGAAUGCCCGGGGCUCAACUCCGGGACUGCUUUUGAAACUGUUGAACUAGAUUGCAGGAGAGGUAAGUGGAAUGCCUGGUGUAGCGGUGAAAUGCGUAGAUAUUAGGAGGAACACCAGUGGCGAAGGCGGCUUGCUGGACUGUAAAUGACGCUGAGGCUCGAAAGCGUGGGGAGCAAACAGGAUUAGAUACCCGAGUAGUC